This 749-nucleotide long non-coding RNA is filed under the name Salmo salar (Atlantic salmon). RNAcentral describes it as "lncRNA (ENSSSAG00000093544.1)". The record is from RNAcentral. Lineage: Eukaryota; Metazoa; Chordata; Actinopteri; Salmoniformes; Salmonidae.
CGAGGGGCAGGAGACUUCAUCUUCAGAAGGAGAGAUGCGCUGAGGCUGACGAGGGGAUGGAGAGAUGCUCUGAGGCCGACAAUGGGAAGGAGCGAUGCCCUGAGACUGACGAGGGGAAGGAGAUUUAAUCUUCAGAAGGAGAGAUGCCCUGAGGCUGACGAUGGGAAGGAGAGAUGCCCUGAGGCUGCCGAGGGGAAGGAGAGAUGUCCUGAGGCUGACAAGGGGAAGGAGAGAUGCCCUGAGGCUGACGAGGGGCUGGAGACUUCAUCUUCAGAAGGAGAGAUGCGCUGAGGCUGACGAGGGGAAGUAGAGAUAACCUGAGGCUGAUGAGGGGAAGGAGAGGUGUCCCGAGCCUGACAAGGGAUAGGAGAGAUGCCCUGAGACUGACGAGGGGAAGGAGACUUCAUCUUCAGAAUGAGAGAUGCCCUGAAGCUGACGAGGGGAAGGAGAGAUGCCCUGAGGCUGACGAGGGGAAGGAUACUUCAUCUUCAGAAGGAGAGAUGCCCUGAGGCCGACGAGGGGAAGGAGACUUCAUCUUCAGAAGGCGAGAUGCCCUGAGGCUGACGAGGGGAAGGAGACUUCAUCUUCAGAAGGAGAGAUGUCCUGACGAGGGUAGGAGAGAUGUCCUGAGGCUGACGAGGGGAAGGAGAGAUGCCCUGAGGCUGACGAGGGGAAAGAGACUUCAUUUUCAGAAGGAGAGAUGCCCUGAGGCCGACGAGGGGAAGGAGACAUCAUCUUCAGAAGGCGAG